Hevea brasiliensis (rubber tree) is the source of this 1209-nucleotide long non-coding RNA. RefSeq lists it as uncharacterized. The record is from RefSeq and is a predicted model, not a curated record. The transcript has 2 exons. Lineage: Eukaryota; Viridiplantae; Streptophyta; Magnoliopsida; Malpighiales; Euphorbiaceae.
ACACGUGUUACAAGAAAACGUCAUUUCGAUUAGCAUUUUCCAAUGUCCACCCCACCUUUGGAAAUAGUUUAUACUUUAAAUCAUUUUUAUUUUUACAUUAUUCAGAUAAUAAACUCUCCGUCAAUUUGUUUACAGCUCUCUCUCCCUCUUUCUCAACGUGCCCAGUUAUCUUCACUGAAAUGCUUGGAGUAAUAUCAUAUGACUAGAAAAUAUGCAUAAAAACACAGGCAUAAGCAGCUGUUAAAUUUGCAGAUGGAUGCCUUCAGGGCUUGAGGGGGAGAUGCUGGUGUUGUCCAGUGUGCAUAUGUGGAAUGUUGUCAUUUUCUGUUUGCACAAAAUCUUUUAUUCAACAUUUAUUUUUUUUUUUACUGACAUGUGGUCUUUAUAGGUAACCGCACUUCCUUUCUUUGCAACCAUGGUACGGCUUUGCCGUGCUGGAGCCGAAGAAAUCUAUCCACUUUGCCCCCUCAACGAGUAUGAAAGUGUUUGAAACUUUGAAUUGUAAACCUGAAAGCAUUGGAAUGGUGUCCCUGAACGGGAAUCCGUUGGCUUCCCACCUUGGGAAGUGUUUUUAAUGGCAGUGGGCAAGCAGCAACUAUGCAAGAUAGGUGCCUGUAAAGACAAUCAUAGAAACAAGAGACAAAGGAAGGAACAAUUAUAGGAAUAAGAGAACUGCAUCUGUGUGUGAUAUAUAAAACAAUCUCAAAGGCUGUGCCAUGAGUUUAUUUGUUCUCUAUUCAUUUGACCUGAGCACAGUCUCUAUGCUUGCUUUUCAGCUUCAGUAGCUUUCUAAUUCAUUCUUUGCUAGUCCCCUGACCUGAACUUUGGAUUCAUUCCCCGAAAGAUUCUGAAAAUUAUUAGAUGCUGCUCUGCGUUUUCAGUGCACAUGCUACUCUCAGUUUAAAGAUGGCUUUGGCAGGGAACUCGCCUGGAACGGUGCAAAAGAAAGAGAACAUUUUUAACUACUCAAAAUUGAGCCAGCUUUAAGCUUUAGCAGGCAUGUGGAUGUGGCUCAGUUCAAGAUUUUUGGCCCAUUAUUUGUCAAAAAGACUCUCAAUCUGUAUAGCAGACCCAAUUCCUUCCAUGUGGGACUAUCAAUGGGUCUUCAAUUUAUGUGACCCAAUCUCUUUCUGUGAACAUUGCCACUAAUCUAAAAUGCCGAGGAACUAUUAAUAAUGGAAUCUCAGAUCAAAACUCAUUUUCAAUUUA